RNAcentral lists this long non-coding RNA (207 nucleotides) under Elaeis guineensis (African oil palm). Its description in RNAcentral is "long non-coding RNA (EGUI_LNC065074)". The record is from RNAcentral. Lineage: Eukaryota; Viridiplantae; Streptophyta; Magnoliopsida; Arecales; Arecaceae.
ACAGCAUAAGAGUUCAAAGAAGAUAUAAUUUUGUGAUGAAAAAUGUCAGAAUAAAUUUUGUUCAAUAAUCAAUAACUCAUAUAUAAAAAAAAACUCAAUCAUCAUAUGAUUGGUUUUAGGACACAAUUCUCAAUAACUCCCACUUAGACUAAAGUCAAUCGAGGCAGUAUCUUAUAUCCAUCUUCCAUUUGAAUUCAUCGAACUCUU